Molecule: ribosomal RNA, 548 nt
Filed under: uncultured bacterium
Lineage: Bacteria
Description: bacterial SSU rRNA
Rfam family: Bacterial small subunit ribosomal RNA
Source: RNAcentral
UGGGGAAUUUUGGACAAUGGGGGCAACCCUGAUCCAGCCAUGCCGCGUGCGGGAAGAAGGCCUUCGGGUUGUAAACCGCUUCGGCCGGGACGAAAUUGGCGGGAUGAAUAGUCUCGCUGGAUGACGGUACCGGAAGAAGAAGCACCGGCUAACUACGUGCCAGCAGCCGCGGUAAUACGUAGGGUGCGAGCGUUAAUCGGAAUUACUGGGCGUAAAGCGUGCGCAGGCGGCCGCGUAAGCCAGAGGUGAAAUCCCCGGGCUCAACCUGGGAAUGGCCUUUGGGACUGUGUGGCUGGAGUGCGGCAGAGGGGGGUGGAAUUCCUGGUGUAGCAGUGAAAUGCGUAGAGAUCAGGAGGAACACCGAUGGCGAAGGCAGCCCCCUGGGCCAGCACUGACGCUCAGGCACGAAAGCGUGGGGAGCAAACAGGAUUAGAUACCCUGGUAGUCCACGCCCUAAACGAUGACGACUAGUUGUUGGGGGAGUCUAUCCCUUAGUAACGUAGCUAACGCGUGAAGUCGUCCGCCUGGGGAGUACGGUCGCAAGAUUA